CAAGAUUUCUCUCUUGAGUUUUCUUUAGAAGUUGUUUUAACAAUCUUGUGAUUGUGGGAGCCAUCUUCAACCUUCUUCUUGCCAUUGAUAUUCUUUGGAGGGGAGAUUAGAGCCGUUUGAAGGGAGUUGUGAGAUAUUUCGAGAUUUCAAGGCUUCUUAGGACUUAUCUUUUAAUUUCUUACUGUCAAUUCUUUCUUUAUUUCUACUUGUGCUGAAUCAUUAUCUAAUCUAUUUUCUGUUCUUAUUGUGUUUUCA
RNAcentral lists this long non-coding RNA (255 nucleotides) under Gossypium barbadense (sea-island cotton). RNAcentral describes it as "long non-coding RNA (GBAR_LNC023185)". Lineage: Eukaryota; Viridiplantae; Streptophyta; Magnoliopsida; Malvales; Malvaceae. The record is from RNAcentral.